CUUCGUGAUGAGAUAAUUUGCGACUGACUCCAGUGACCGGAGGCUCCCGCCAGAGCCUCUCAACGGCGCUGGAGCCAUGAUAUUCAAUCUUACAUAUUCUGACU
Molecule: small nucleolar RNA, 104 nt
Filed under: Coniosporium apollinis CBS 100218
Lineage: Eukaryota; Fungi; Ascomycota; Dothideomycetes
Description: A. fumigatus snoRNA Afu_514
Rfam family: A. fumigatus snoRNA Afu_514
Source: Rfam by way of RNAcentral